AGGUUACAAUACAAUUUCAGAUACUUCAAGUGUACAUGUGGGGACCAUAUGUUGGGAUUACGGAAAUGUCUCUUGAAAUUCACUAUUCUCCAAACAGAGGCAUUGUGCAAGAUCAAGAAUGGCCAUCAUAUAUACCAGAUGAAUUAUAGCGAAAUCCUUAUUACUACUUAAAAAUUGUUGGUGUUAAUCCCAUCGUAAACUUUGAAAGCUUAAUGUCUAUUUAUUUAAAAAGAGUUGCGUUAGUUAUAAAGUUAACCCUUAAACUCCAAAGAUGUGAUGGUUAAUCCUCCGCUCUAGCUGCUAUACAUUUCCUUGAAAAUAGGCUACGGGAAUUUGAUGCUAGAUCAAGAUUAAAACUUCACGUUCUUCUGAGAGUUAAAGGGUGACGAGGCUAGUUGGAUUUACGCAUUUUGCUCCAACACUCUGAAAAUUGAAUAUACUC
Pocillopora verrucosa is the source of this 442-nucleotide non-coding RNA. The record is from RefSeq and is a predicted model, not a curated record. Lineage: Eukaryota; Metazoa; Cnidaria; Anthozoa; Scleractinia; Pocilloporidae.